Molecule: ribosomal RNA, 429 nt
Filed under: Actinomycetes bacterium
Lineage: Bacteria; Bacillati; Actinomycetota; Actinomycetes
Description: Actinobacteria bacterium partial 16S ribosomal RNA
Rfam family: Bacterial small subunit ribosomal RNA
Source: RNAcentral
UAGGGAAUCUUCCGCAAUGGGCGAAAGCCUGACGGAGCAACGCCGCGUGAGUGAUGAAGGUCUUCGGAUCGUAAAACUCUGUUAUUAGGGAAGAACAAAUGUGUAAGUAACUAUGCACGUCUUGACGGUACCUAAUCAGAAAGCCACGGCUAACUACGUGCCAGCAGCCGCGGUAAUACGUAGGUGGCAAGCGUUAUCCGGAAUUAUUGGGCGUAAAGCGCGCGUAGGCGGUUUUUUAAGUCUGAUGUGAAAGCCCACGGCCAAACCGUGGAGGGUCAUUGGAAACUGGAAAACUUGAGUGCAGAAGAGGAAAGUGGAAUUCCAUGUGUAGCGGUGAAAUGCGCAGAGAUAUGGAGGAACACCAGUGGCGAAGGCGACUUUCUGGUCUGUAACUGACGCUGAUGUGCGAAAGCGUGGGGAUCAAACAGG